Long non-coding RNA from Podarcis muralis (Common wall lizard), 620 nucleotides. RefSeq lists it as uncharacterized. The record is from RefSeq and is a predicted model, not a curated record. Lineage: Eukaryota; Metazoa; Chordata; Lepidosauria; Squamata; Lacertidae.
GGGUCAUCACGGCUCUCCAGGGAUUUGGCCAGAACAAAGUACAGUGGUACCUCAGGUUACAGACACAAUCCGUUCUGGGGUGCUGCUCGCACUCCGAGAAGUCCGUUCAACAGAAGCAGGUUGGAGAACAUUAUGGAGGUUUCCAGUUCCAUUGGGGCUGCCGGUUUGUUGCUAGGAUAUAAAUGCCGACUUUUCAGCUGCUGUAAUUGCAAUGGAAAUUUUUGCUUUUUGCAGUGAAGGGGAUGGUGUCAUGAACAUUCCCAUGGCUUUAAUCGCUGGUGGGGGGGGGGUGACCUGUUGCUGACUACAGACAUAUCACAGGCCCUACAUUGCACGGGAUGUUAGAGGAAGGAUAGCAUCUCUGGUGGGACAACACAUAUUGCAUCUUCUUAAGAACCAUCAAUAAGUGCCAGAACUAAGACGCAUAUCCCCCAAAAUCCGAGGGAUUUAAAUUGCGGUUGACAUAGAGGGAGCUUAUUGUAUAUAGUGUUUACUUAAUUGAAGUAAAAUUGGUGUUAUAUGGGUGUUUUAACUUGGAACUGUUUAAAUUGUUUGUUUAUGGAUAAAUUUUGAUGUAUUGUUUUAGAUAUGGGCCAAUGGCCGUAAUAAAUCAAAUCAAU